UGUCGGUACAAUGCAGAAUUAAAUGUCAGCCACUUAACAGUACAACGCCUGACGGGCAUCGACAUAUUCACAAUUAUAACUCAUGUAACAGGUUAGUACCGGCACAACAACGUUGACUUAUCCAUGCGUCGGUAACAUACGAGAUCACAUUUCCAACUAUUGCCCAUAUUACAAAAGUAUCGAAAUUUACUAUUAAAGAAACGGCUAUAAUAGCAUUGUUACUUGAUGAGAAAGAAGACAGUAGAAAAAGAGGAGAAAAUACUGAGUGUAUAGAAGUCUGGGAUUAAGAAAGAACGAAGGUGAAUUUCAUACACUACAUAUAUAUAUAUAUAAAUAUUUCUAUGUAAAUAAUAUGAAUUUGUCUAUGUUGGUCUGAAAUACGAUCGAAUAUAUAGGUUGGACAUUCCAGGGGGAGGGUAAGAGUUAGGGUUAGGGUUAGGAUUAGGUUUAGGUUUAGGUUUAGGUUUAGGUUUCAACAAAACUCUUGACAAAGCAAUCUCGGGAAUUGUGCUUUACAAGUCGCUUUUACAAACAGACACUAGAGAACGCUGCGAUCGAGAAGUUAACGCCAUCCUUCGAUGAAAUUGUUGAACAUAAAAAGAAUAAACUAAAUUGAGAUUAUUCAAUGUAAAGUAAACUGAAUACAAUUACAAUGUAAAGUGGCUAAAAUAAACUACUCUUCAAAGUUUUU
Molecule: long non-coding RNA, 691 nt
Organism: Bombus impatiens (common eastern bumble bee)
Lineage: Eukaryota; Metazoa; Arthropoda; Insecta; Hymenoptera; Apidae
Exons: 2
Source: RefSeq, a predicted model, not a curated record